This 468-nucleotide ribosomal RNA is filed under the name uncultured bacterium. Its description in RNAcentral is "partial 16S ribosomal RNA". It matches the Rfam family "Bacterial small subunit ribosomal RNA", at positions 28 to 507 of the family's 1533-position model. The record is from RNAcentral.
GACGAACGCUGGCGGCGUGCUUAACACAUGCAAGUCGAACGGACAGGCCCUGCUUUUGUUGGGUGCUCGAGUGGCGAACGGGUGAGUAACACGUGAGUAACCUGCCCUUGACUUUGGGAUAACUUCAGGAAACUGGGGCUAAUACCGGAUAUGAGCUCCUGCUGCAUGGUGGGGGUUGGAAAGUUUCGGCGGUUGGGGAUGGACUCGCGGCUUAUCAGCUUGUUGGUGGGGUAGUGGCUUACCAAGGCUUUGACGGGUAGCCGGCCUGAGAGGGUGACCGGCCACAUUGGGACUGAGAUACGGCCCAGACUCCUACGGGAGGCAGCAGUGGGGAAUAUUGCACAAUGGGCGGAAGCCUGAUGCAGCAACGCCGCGUGCGGGAUGACGGCCUUCGGGUUGUAAACCGCUUUCGCCUGUGACGAAGCGUGAGUGACGGUAAUGGGUAAAGAAGCACCGGCUAACUACGUG